GGCGGGGCCGCGGGGCCUGGAAGCAGCCUCCGGGAUCUGCAAGUCUGGAAAGGCCACGUUGUGGACCUUGGCGCAGAGGUUAUGGGGGCGACCCGGAGCGGAUGGUUUCAGGAAAACUAGAACCCACCCUCAUGGCCUGAACAACUGGAGAGAAGAGGAUCGCAGCAAUUUAAAGCCAGCGGCAAGGAUCACAGUCCUGGGGUCAGGAAUCACCUGGCGGUCUUGUGAAACUGCAGCUUCUAAUGGGCAAGUCAGAGGGGAAGCCUGAGACAUGGCAUUUCCAGCACGUUCGGGGAGUGAAGAUGCUGUCGGCUGCCACCCUCCCUGCAAGGAGCCAGGGGAUAGAUGACCUCUACGCAAACUCUCCCCUCAAUGGGAAGUAGAAUCUCUUUCUCCACCUCUUCAAUAUGGCUGGCCCUGGAACUUCCCUUGGCACACAGAAUGCAGCAGAAUUGGCUUCAUGUUGUUUCUAAGCCUUGGCCUCAGAGGCCUUGCAUGCUUCCUAACCCUGGCUCUAGGAAACUUGCUGCUGUCAUGUAAGCAAGCCCAGGCUAACCUACUGAAUGUUGGUGUGUCCCAGUCAAAUCCAGCACUGCAACCAAUAGCCAGGCAGCCACCAGACAUGUGAGUGGGGCCACCUCACACCAGCCAACCUCCACCAAGUCAUCAGAUGUAUGAGUGAGAACAGCCCAGAACAACUGAGCCCGUCCAGACCAGCGGAACAACCAAGCUGACCAGUAGACUUAGGAGCAGUAAACAGAUGAUUGUUAUGGAAGCCAUUCUGUUUAGGGUGUGUGUGUUAUUGCUUGCAUCCAAAUACAUCCUAUCUCAUCUAAUGAGAAAAGGCCCUGCUCAAGGGCUUUUGCAGCUGUAGUUGGGCGCCGGAAGUGUCUUUGUGGUCAUUUCUUACUCCAUACACGGGGAGAUCAAGGCUCAGACCAGGUAGUGUGACUGUGGACAACACUUUCCUUACCCCUCUGUGACACUUAAAUCAAUGAAGCAGAUUCACAGAAGCAUGCAUGCUCACUGAACACAGUAUUUGCAUUCCUACCUCCAAACCUUUGCUCCACCCAUGCAUCCAGUAAGAAUGCCUACUUCCCUCCUCUCCUCCAUCGAGUUCUUUCUUUGAGUUCUACCUUCCCUAGUCUUCCUCCACUGCACCAACCCACGGUGAUCCCUGUCUCUUCCAAAUGCUUUGUAACAUGGUAGGCAUCACUCACUUGUGACUCAUUGGACCAUUUUAAAACUUGGUUUUCUGUGUCUCUUUUCCAACAAAAUUACAAAUUCUUUGAGGGUAAAAGUCAGGCCUAAUAGUUCUCUGUACUCCUAGUAGUGCCAGUGUGGUAAAAAUUUAACUUGACAAUUAGCAAAACCAAUAAAUUCCUUACACUAUUCUGUUCCUGUAGGUAAUCAGUAUAUGAAUAUGGAUUCCUAUGUGAUGAUUUUCUGGUCUAUUUUGUCCCUUUUUUUUUUUUGUUACUUUAACCAGGCCAUAACAUAAAGGUUAUGCCAUUUGUUACUGUCAAGCUUAAUUAAGCCCAUUAUAAUUCGUUAACCCCUGUGCUUGCUUUGUAAUUAACAUUGAUUAACACAAACAAGUACAAAAUAGGCCAUCAGCACUUUCCAGAAGUGCUGAUUACAAUUACAUUGGUAAUUCAAUACGGUAUAGAAGAUGGCAGGAUAGUAACUUGCACUCUGUUUACAUAAGGAGACAAAUGCUACCAUGCAAAACUAAGCCAAGAAACAAAAUACUUUCCUCAUCCAACUCACUGAUUAAACCCUUACCCUGUUAACUCACCCUAUGACUGUGUAAACCUCCAGUAAGAUUAUUGAAGGCACAGCUCCAAGUAACUUGCUUAAUUGCAUUCCUGGGACAAAAGAGGGAAGCGCUUCAAAGCUGACAGACAGAUGGUAGAGUGUCCAGUCACAGCAAAGCAGGCCCCGAGGCUCAUGACAGACAACUCCAGGGCUGAGAUCUCAUUUGUAGCUCUGGGAUAAAGUCCAGGGUUUGAUGGCAGCAGGCUGAAGUGUAAAGAUGCUCAACAAUGCGCACCCCAGAGACACUGAAUCUGAAAAAGCUUAGAGUGAAUAAAAAUCUGGAAAUGAACUCUGUCUGUCUAUUCACCAUUCCCCCCAUAAAAAAAUUCCUAUAUUCCGGAUGGUGUUCAAGUUCCCUUUCCACAGGACCUCAGCAGUCAGGGAGGUGCUCCUGCAAUCUAUGUGAAGGAGAUUUCACCAUGCCCACAUGGGAAUACAGUAGAUUGCCAGUAGGGAUGCCACACCUUUGCAUUUCCUCGUAUUUCCAGGAACAAAGCUGGGGUGCCUAGGAGCUGCAGCAGUUUUUCUUCUGUGUAAAAUAAGCAAGCAGGACUCUGCCCCACUGCACUCCAGGGAAGGAUUAAGAGAAUUGAUAUCAUCCAAAUCAAUUGGCCCUGUGCAGAUGACUUGAUAAUGAGGCCAUUGAGUUUUUAUGGUUCACUAUUAUUGCUACAAAAAUUAUGCUGCAGAAAUCAUUCAAAUGCUCAAAAAGGAGCAUUAGUACGAAACUGGGUGUUCCAAAGUUGUUGCUGAGAGGUGUGUAAUGUUCCUGAAGAUCCCCAAGGCACUAAGACUUCUCUGUACAUGAAUGACUCAUAGAGAAGAAAUACACCAGAUGAAAAUAUAUGGAGAAGUUUGCCGAAUGUCAUAUAACUU
RNAcentral lists this long non-coding RNA (2694 nucleotides) under Homo sapiens (human). RNAcentral describes it as "HSALNT0264760". Lineage: Eukaryota; Metazoa; Chordata; Mammalia; Primates; Hominidae. The record is from RNAcentral.